This 1494-nucleotide ribosomal RNA is filed under the name uncultured organism. Its description in RNAcentral is "partial 16S ribosomal RNA". It matches the Rfam family "Bacterial small subunit ribosomal RNA". The record is from RNAcentral.
GAGUUUGAUCCUGGCUCAGGACGAACGCUGGCGGCAUGCCUAACACAUGCAAGUCGAACGAGAAAGUUCCUUCGGGAGCAAUUAAAGUGGCGCACGGGUGAGUAACGCGUAGACAAUCUGCCCUUCAGUCUGGGACAACUUUUCGAAAGGAGAGCUAAUACCGGAUAACAAUGCAUGACACAAGUUGUAUAUUUGAAAGCUUUAUGUGCUGAAGGAGGGGUCUGCGUCCCAUUAGCUAGUUGGUAAGGUAAAAGCUUACCAAGGCGACGAUGGGUAGCGGGUUUGAGAGGACGAUCCGCCACACUGGAACUGAGACACGGUCCAGACUCCUACGGGAGGCAGCAGUGGGGAAUAUUGCACAAUGGAGGCAACUCUGAUGCAGCAAUGUCGCGUGAGUGAAGAAGGCCCUUGGGUCGUAAAGCUCUUUUAUGGGGGAAGAUGAUGACGGUACCCCAAGAAUAAGCACCGGCUAACUAUGUGCCAGCAGCCGCGGUAAUACGAAGGUCCCAAGCGUUGUUCGGAAUCACUGGGCGUAAAGGGAGCGUAGGCGGCGCGGUAAGUCGGAUGUGAAAUCCCGAGGCUCAACCUCGGAACUGCAUCUGAUACUGCCGUGCUAGAGUAAUGGAGGGGUAGCUGGAAUUCUCGGUGUAGCAGUGAAAUGCGUAGAUAUCGAGAGGAACACUCGUGGCGAAAGCGAGCUACUGGACAUUUACUGACGCUGAGGCUCGAAGGCUAGGGGAGCGAAAGGGAUUAGAUACCCCUGUAGUCCUAGCAGUAAACGGUGCACGCUUGGUGUGAGGGGAUUCGACCCCCCUUGUGCCGGAGCUAACGCGUUAAGCGUGCCGCCUGGGAAGUACGGUCGCAAGACUAAAACUCAAAGAAAUUGACGGGGACCCGCACAAGCGGUGGAGUAUGUGGCUUAAUUCGAUGCAACGCGAAGAACCUUACCUAGGCUUGACAUGCAUCUCUAAGCACGUGAAAGCGUGUGACCCUUCGGGGGAUUUGCACAGGUGCUGCAUGGCCGUCGUCAGCUCGUGUCGUGAGAUGUUGGGUUAAGUCCCGCAACGAGCGCAACCCUUGUGAUUAGUUGCCAGCACGUAAUGGUGGGAACUCUAGUCAGACUGCCCAGAUCAACUGGGAGGAAGGUGGGGACGACGUCAGGUCAGUAUGGCCCUUACGCCUAGGGCUGCACACGUACUACAAUGCUCAGUACAAUUAGAACCGAUACCGCGAGGUGGAGGAAAUCUGUAAAACUGGGCUCAGUUCGGAUUGGAGGCCGCAACUCGCCUCCAUGAAGUUGGAAUCGCUAGUAAUGGGGCAUCAUCUACGGCCCCGUGAAUACGUUCCCGGGUCUUGUACACACCGCCCGUCACAUCAUGGAAGCCGGUAGCACCCGAAGUAUUGUUCAAUCAAUCCUAAGGUGAAGCUGGUAACUGGGAUGAAGUCGUAACAAGGUAGCCGUAGGGGAACCUGCGGCUGGAUCACCUCCUUUCU